This 1185-nucleotide non-coding RNA is filed under the name Pan troglodytes (chimpanzee). Lineage: Eukaryota; Metazoa; Chordata; Mammalia; Primates; Hominidae. The record is from RNAcentral.
CUUUGGGAGGCUGAGGCAGGCAGAUCACCUAAGGCCAGGAAUUCGACACCAGCCUGGCCAACGUGGCAAAACCCGUCUCUACUAAAAAUACAAAAAUUAGCCGGGCGUGGUGGUGUGCGCCUGGAAUCCCAGCUACCCAGGAGGCUGAGGCAGGAGAAAAGCUGGAACCCGGGAGGCAGAGGCUGCAGUGAGCUGAGAUCAUGCCACUACUGCACUCCAGCCUGGGUGACACAGCAAGACUCCCUCUAAAAAAAGAAAAAAAGAAAAGAAAAGAAAAGAAAAUGAUAUAUCCAUGAUGGAUUAAAAUGGAGUGGAACCCACUGAUGGGAAAGCCACAGAAGGUACCAGUUAUCCACUCACUGACUUAGGUGCCUCCACUAGAAUUCUCAGCACGUUUUUGCAGAACCUGGGCAACAAGAGCGAAACCCCAUCUCAAAACAACAACAACAACAGCAGGACAACAGAGAUGGACGACGGAUCGGGAAAGCCAAUCAGAUAGCGUGAGGCCAGGACGGAAAGAGGCACAGGGAGCUCUGCUCAGUUUCGCUACAGGGGAUCUCUCAGGCUCACAAUGGGCCAGUCCUCUAGGGAAGUUCUGGUCUCAUCAUGAUCCUUCUUUGGUCUCACUCCCCAUGUCCUUCUCUGUCCCUCCUCCCACUGCCAUUUAUUUAUUUAACUGAAAAAGUACCAAUCACCCACAUAGGCAUAACAUACUCAUCCAUGUACCCAUUUCUUAAAAUUGGUCAUUGUUAACAUUUGGUGUAAUUUGCUUUAUUUAUUUUUAAUGAAAUAAAUAAAACUUUACAGAAAAUGCUUUAUUUUUCUCUUUGUUCCCUCCCCAUCCUAUCUUUUUCUCCUAAAAAACCCUAUUAUCAGAAAUAUUAGUGUGUAUUCCCAGUUUUGAUUUUUUAUUUUAUUACACACACACUCCCAUGCAUAGCUGUGACAAUGAACUUCACAUAGUAUGGUUCUGUAUUUUCUCUUUGUUUUUCAAACUUACAUAAGUAUUUUACUAUUUCUCAUGGAAAAACUCACUUUUCCCAUCCAACGUUACGUUUUCUUAAGAUCUCUCUAUGUUGAUAUAAAGAAAUCUAGUUCAUUCUUUUUAAUGAAAAUAAAGCAUAUUUUAUGAAUGUAACUCAUGCUAACCAUGGCAAUAAAAGCUCCAUCAAGCAUGCAUUUAGU